Molecule: long non-coding RNA, 550 nt
Organism: Pieris napi
Lineage: Eukaryota; Metazoa; Arthropoda; Insecta; Lepidoptera; Pieridae
Exons: 2
Source: RefSeq, a predicted model, not a curated record
UUGUGUCAUCUUGACGUAGCGUUGAAGGUUAAAGCGUUAUCUUAAAAUGAUUUACAAUAAUAAAACACAAAUAUACCAAUUAGACAAAGCAUUAUAAAAAUAAUGAAUCAUUUUCCUAAUACAUAAAAUUAAGAUAAAAUAGAAAGGAGAGUUGAUGUAAGGACAAGUCACGUGUUUUUUACAAGUUUAAGACGCGAAUGCGAGGUGCAUAUCUUUAUGAUACGAUCACAAAUGGAACAGCUAUAUGGAUAUACUUGUAAGAAUAAUUGUUGCUUUUGCGGGACUCACUUUGAAGAUUGUGGAACAAGCUGUCAGAGCAUUCCUCCACAUUGCUAUGACUCUCUCAUCAAUAGGAUUCGUCGCAGCCUCGGGUGCUAUGAUUUGUUAUACCAUUAUGAGAUACGGAGUAUGCGACGAAGAGACUUGUUUGACGUCUCGAUCUUUGGGCGGAUUGAUAUUAUUGGCGGGUUGGGCUUAUGUUGCCUACGUCACUGUACGGAAUCUACUUUAAAUAUUUAAUUGAAUAAAAAUGUCGAAAUUCUGUCUUAUA